Molecule: small RNA, 307 nt
Filed under: Pongo abelii (Sumatran orangutan)
Lineage: Eukaryota; Metazoa; Chordata; Mammalia; Primates; Hominidae
Description: retained intron
Source: RNAcentral
UGUGGGGCCUAUACCUCAGUCCUGACUUCCUAUUCCUUAGACCCUGACAGCCAGCCCCCAAGCACCUGGGUCCCCAGAGGAUUCGGAGGGUGUCCCCCUCAUCAGCCUGCCCAGCAUGCCACAGGGAGGGAGUCAGCCUGGGCCCAGCCGGGGACUAAGUCUCAUGUCCAGUCAGGGCAGUGUGGACUCAGACCACCUAGGUUAUGAUGGUGGCAGCAGUGGCUCAGACAGUGAGGGUCCCAAUGACACCCUUGGUGAGAAGGCCCCCUUCACAUUGCGGACUCCACCUGGGCCAGCACCUCCACAG